UUGUGCGGGGUAACGGCCCACCAAGGCGACGAUCAGUAGCCGGCCUGAGAGGGUGAACGGCCACAUUGGGACUGAGACACGGCCCAAACUCCUACGGGAGGCAGCAG
RNAcentral lists this ribosomal RNA (107 nucleotides) under uncultured bacterium. RNAcentral's name for it is "partial 16S ribosomal RNA". It matches the Rfam family "Bacterial small subunit ribosomal RNA", at positions 249 to 354 of the family's 1533-position model. The record is from RNAcentral.